UAGCUGGUGUCCGCUUUCAGGGAAAAAAGACAUCUUUUAGCAACAGUGAUGAUGAGGAUUCUGCUACUGAUGAUAUAGAUUCUGCUGGUUUUGAUUCCUUAGCAGAAGAGGAAAGUGACGAUAAUCCAGCAAUGGAAAAUGUUGAUGAAGAAAAAGUUGAUAAUGAGGAUUCUGCUGAUUUUGGUUCCUUAGGAAAACGAAAACAUGACAGCACUCCAGAAAUGAAAAUCACUGAUGAGAAAAAAUUGAAUUUGAAAAAGCUGUGUAAGCAGCUUCUACGUCAGGCACCAGGAGAGUCACUAAAGCUAAAAAAGCUGAAAGUUCUCAUUGAAGAGCAUUCAUCUUAUUUUUUUUCCAAUUUCUCUUCGAGGAGAGAUGCUCUUGCUUACUUGAAACAGAAGCUAGAAGGCAGUUGUAAUUUCUCUUUAGAAGGAAAAAGAGUGAGUCUCAAAUGCAGGAGAGGCAGAUAUUUUGGUUAGGAUUUCAGUUGCCUGCCCUGGUCUGUAUAUUGCAGCUGAGACUGGUUAAUAAUCAGAUUUGCAUGCCAUGCACCCAUUGGAAUUUUUUUUUUCUUUCCCAUAAUCACUAAUCACGA
This 595-nucleotide unclassified non-coding RNA is filed under the name Hevea brasiliensis (rubber tree). The record is from RNAcentral. Lineage: Eukaryota; Viridiplantae; Streptophyta; Magnoliopsida; Malpighiales; Euphorbiaceae.